CACGUAGGGGGCAAGCGUUGUCCGGAUUUAUUGGGCGUAAAGAGCUCGUAGGCGGUUCGGUCAGUCAGGUGUGAAACCUCCAGGCUCAACCUGGAGACGCCACCUGAUACUGCUGUGACUCGAGUCCGGUAGGGGAGCGUGGAAUUCCUGGUGUAGCGGUGAAAUGCGCAGAUAUCAGGAGGAACACCAGCGGCGAAGGCGGCGCUCUGGGCCGGAACUGACGCUGAGGAGCGAAAGCGUGGGGAGCGAACAGG
This 254-nucleotide ribosomal RNA is filed under the name uncultured bacterium. Its description in RNAcentral is "partial 16S ribosomal RNA". It matches the Rfam family "Bacterial small subunit ribosomal RNA", at positions 524 to 776 of the family's 1533-position model. The record is from RNAcentral.